UACGUAGGGGGCAAGCGUUGUCCGGAUUUAUUGGGCGUAAAGAGCGUGUAGGCGGCCAGACAGGUCCGUUGUGAAAACUCGAGGCUCAACCUCGAGAUGUCGGUGGAAACCGUCUGGCUAGAGUCCGGAAGAGGAGUGUGGAAUUCCUGGUGUAGCGGUGAAAUGCGCAGAUAUCAGGAGGAACACCUAUGGCGAAGGCAGCACUCUGGGACGGUACUGACGCUGAGACGCGAAAGCGUGGGGAGCGAACAGG
RNAcentral lists this ribosomal RNA (253 nucleotides) under uncultured bacterium. RNAcentral's name for it is "partial 16S ribosomal RNA". It matches the Rfam family "Bacterial small subunit ribosomal RNA", at positions 524 to 776 of the family's 1533-position model. The record is from RNAcentral.